Molecule: long non-coding RNA, 2495 nt
Filed under: Sarcophilus harrisii (Tasmanian devil)
Lineage: Eukaryota; Metazoa; Chordata; Mammalia; Dasyuromorphia; Dasyuridae
Description: lncRNA (ENSSHAG00000030202.1)
Source: RNAcentral
CUUUUCCUCCCCCCGCCCGGCUCCCGGCUUAGAAACCCCCAGCUCUCCUCCCUGUCACCCGAGCCUUCCCGGGCCGGGGGGGGGGCCGGGACGCACCCACGCCCUCCUCGGAGUGAGGCCGCCGAGGAGACGGCGGACGGGAGUUUCGCGGCACGAGCCCCCCCACUGCCGAGUCGGUUGGCCCUGGAGGCGGCCAGAGCUGGGGUCUAGGCGCCGGGGGGGCAGAGCCAUGGCCCUGGGCGGCGGCCUGCAGCCCGGACGGCGCGCUGGCGGCGAUCGCCGGCGGUCCGGCGGCCCUGCGGAGGAGGUGCCCGGCCGGGGCGCCCGAGCCCUGGAGCGCAGCCCCCUCCCCGGCCCGCUCUCUCUGGCCGCCUCGAUGGCGCCCCCGGCCCGUCUCCGCCUCCCGCCGCCGGCCCAGGACCCCUUCCUGCCUACCCUGGCCGGCUCCCCGGCUUCGGCCACUGCCCCGUCGGCGGCGCACGUCUGGGAGCUGGGAGCCGCCCGGCUGCUGCAGCGCUCCGACUCCCGAGCGUCGCCCCGCCGCGCCCCGCCGCCCCGCAGCCCCCAGGCCAGGCAGGCCCGAGCGGCCGCCGCCCCGCGAGCCAAGCUGUCCCUGCUGCUGCUGCGACCAUCCCCCGCCGCUCAGCCCGCCCUGGGGGGGGGGCCCCUGGCCAACAGCCUCCGAGAGGGGACAACCGGGGCCGGCUACUACAGCGAGAAGCGCAUCGCGGAGUGGAUCAAUCAGGUGAACCGCAGCCUCUUCGCUCCCUCGGGGGUCCUGGACCCUCCGGAACAGGACAAGUCCAUCGGAACGGCGCACGAGGACCCCGGGAGCCUCCCACUGCCCAGCCCUGGGGUCCGAGAAUGUCUGAGCCAGAAGGGGAGGAGCGCCACCCCCUCGUUCGACAGAAGGGGAAACUGAGGCCCAGAGAGAGACCAAGCUCGCCCGGCUCCUUGGUGGCAUUCGGGACACAAGCCACGGAUCCUUCCACUUCCCAUCUAACUUGGCCCCUCCUUCAUCCCAGGGGGAGCUCUGCUAGCGAAGCAGCCCUUCUCUGACCUGCUAGGAUGCUCCAAGUCCUUCUAGUUGUCCCCGAGGCUGUGGCUUCCUCCAUCUCCCUGGGACUGGAAAGAUGCCCUCAGGAACCCAGCCUUAAUCCCUGGGCUGGAGUACCUGCAGACCCCAGGACGGCUGUUCUGUCUGGGAGGCGGAGGAACUUGGAUCCCAUCGAGCACCUCGCCUUCUCCCUCACUCCCGAUCGACAGAAAUUAUCGAUAUCUAAAGACCCGGUAUAAGACUGAUUCCUCCUCUUCAGAUCCCUGAAGUCCUCAUACUGACCUGUCUCUUCUCCAGACUCCUCAAGGGCGAGAUCUCCUAAUUUUGGGCAAUGAGGAAACUGAGGCAAACAAGAUGAAGGUUCCUUGCCCAGAGUCAUACAGCCAGUAGCGAGUGUCUGAGGCUGCAUUUGGACUCGGGAAGAUGAGGCUUCCUGACUUCAAGCCCCGAACUAUCCACUGCGGCACUUUCUGCUGCCCAUCUAGAGGGGACCAGAGGCUUAAGAUAGUACUUCCAAUGUGAAAUGGAAUCAGACACGAACACAGAAUGAGUCUAGGCUCCAUUUCUUUAACAUCUGCGGAGGUUUCCCCAGCAUGCAGAUUUUAUGGAGAAAAAGGAAGGAACAAGGAAAUAAUAACAGCUAACAUUUAGAUACUGUGUAUCAGGCACGGUACUAAGCACUUUACCAUUAUCUUAUUUGAUCCUCCUGAACAUCAUCUGAUGGGUACUGUUACCAUCCUGAUUUUGACCUGAUUACAAAGUUAAGUGACUUACCCAAGAUCACACAGCUAAUAAGUGUCUCAAACUGAAUUUGAACACAGCUCUUCUGACUCUCCAAACCUGGUACAGUAUGCAAUACUCCCUAAUCUAACUCUCUUGACUAAUGAUUUGGGGGAAAGAGAAGAGGUUCCUUGUAUGCAUUUUGAAAGAAGGAAAAGGAAUAAAGGAGGGAAGCAAAAGCUGGGAAGAGUAAUAAUACCUUGUUUUGGCUCUGCCUCUUGCAUCUUGAGCAAGAACUUUCAGAGGUGAGCUUUACUAAGGAAUUAUGAUGAUCAAGUACCAGUUCCUACUCCAUGACCCUCAAGGGAGACCACAAUCCCCAAGGGGAAGGGGGAAAGCUCUAGCCAAGAAGAUGAAAUCCUUGCACCUUAAAGUCACCUCCAAAUUGGCUUAUUUUUCAUUGGGCUUGGCCAUUUACGCUUCCUUGUCCAAUGUUCAUAGGAUCAUAACUCUAGAACCAUAAGGGGACUCCAGGGACUAUUUUUGUGGCCCAGACAGGUAAAGGUAGUCACCAAAGGUCAGAGGCAGGAUUUGAACCCACGACCUCCAACUCCAGAGCCAUCCUAUACUCAUCCAGAGCAUCCAAUGCUCAGCGUCAUGUACAAUGCUAUUUCUCCAGGGAUAUCAACCGGAAUAAAAUAAAAAUUAUUCUUUCUCG